GUAAAGCGAGGAUCUGGGUCACCUCCCACCCGUGUCUAUCGUACCUUGUUGCUUCGGCGGGCCCGCCGUUUCGACGGCCGCCGGGGAGGCCCUGCGCCCCCGGGCCCGCGCCCGCCGAAGACCCCAACAUGAACGCUGUUCUGAAAGUAUGCAGUCUGAGUUGAUUAUCGUAAUCAGUUAAAACUUUCAACAACGGAUCUCUUGGUUCCGGCAUCGAUGAAGAACGCAGCGAAAUGCGAUAAGUAAUGUGAAUUGCAGAAUUCAGUGAAUCAUCGAGUCUUUGAACGCACAUUGCGCCCCCUGGUAUUCCGGGGGGCAUGCCUGUCCGAGCGUCAUUGCUGCCCUCAAGCACGGCUUGUGUGUUGGGCCCCCGUCCCCCUCUCCCGGGGGACGGGCCCGAAAGGCAGCGGCGGCACCGCGUCCGGUCCUCGAGCGUAUGGGGCUUUGUCACCUGCUCUGUAGGCCCGGCCGGCGCCAGCCGACACCCAACUUUAUUUUUCUAAGGUUGACCUCGGAUCAGGUAGGGAUACCCGCUGAACUUAAGCAUAUCAA
This 552-nucleotide ribosomal RNA is filed under the name fungal sp. RNAcentral's name for it is "eukaryotic LSU rRNA". The stretch from base 182 to 335 matches the Rfam family "5.8S ribosomal RNA". Lineage: Eukaryota; Fungi. The record is from RNAcentral.